CAACCAAUAAGACAAACAUAUACACAAAAGGACCUCCCCCAUCACAGGAUAGUCAUGAACUCACAGAGAUUCACCUGCCUCUACCUCCCCAAGAACUGGGAUCAAAGGAGUGGGCCACAAUACCAACAGGGUUUCUCUGUGACUUUGGAGGCUGUCCUGGAACUAGCUCUUGUAGACAUCUGGAGGGAGAUUCUGGAGUUCUGGAGAGAGUGAUGCCAUGACACAUGUAAAGGCUCAAGGCUCAUCACAGAAGAGGAAGCAGAAAGAUGGUAAGAACUGGAGGCUGUGGACAACUACAGCAAAGCAACGUUUUCAGGACACAACAGGGCAGUUCCACAUAAGAACUCAGCGGCUAUGACAGCAACUACAAGAAGAGCUGCACAAAUUCAAAGCCAGAGCAAACCCCAGCAUGGAGAGGGGAGAAGUGCAGCCAGGCUCAUGGGAGUGCCAGAGUCACCAAGAGACUUCCACAGGUCCGGGGGAUCAAACUCAGGUCAUCGGACUUGGCAACAGCAUCUUUACCUGCUGAGAUAUCUCGCUGAUGUGUCUUUUCCCCCUUUAAUCCAAGUAUGCAAGGAUAUUUCUUACUUAAGAUGACUAUGACCCAAAUGUUAAUCUUCAAUUGAUUUUCCUGAAAAUCCUGCAGACAGCAUUCAAAGUGAAAUUAUAAAGAAG
RNAcentral lists this long non-coding RNA (675 nucleotides) under Cricetulus griseus (Chinese hamster). Its description in RNAcentral is "lncRNA (ENSCGRG00015032992.1)". Lineage: Eukaryota; Metazoa; Chordata; Mammalia; Rodentia; Cricetidae. The record is from RNAcentral.